AUGGCGACGGCGGCUUCGCAUGCACGCAGCAGCAUCCUCGUUUCCGUUUGCGCUGGGUGCUUCCUCCUCCUCUGCUUGCCGUGUGAUGCUGCCGCCUCGCCUCUCUCCUUCAGCUUCGACUUCUCCAACAAAUCCACCUUCAGCUCACGAAUCCAGGUCAUGGGCGACGCGCUCCAGCAAGACAACCUGGUCGACCUCACGGUGGACACCUCGUACAGGCGUGGCAUCCACUAUCUCAAGGGGCGGAUGUCGUACGUCGACCCUGUGCCCUUCUUUGACGGCACCACCCACGAGCUGACGAGCUUCGUCACGCACUUCACCUUCGCGAUCAAGCCCAUCCCAGGGGAGAUAAGGGGGGACGGCAUGGCUUUCUUCCUCUCCAGCUUCCCGCCGACGGUGCCGGCCAACUCGACCGGGGGCAACCUUGGCCUCAUUGUCCAGGGUGACGGCAACGCCUUGGGCGCAGACCGGUUCGUCGCCAUCGUGUUCAAGACGUUCAACAGCUCGGACCACAUCGGCAUCGACAUCAACUCUGCCUCGUCCUCCAAAAAUGAAACAGCCUUGCCCGACUUCAGCCUGAAUGGCUCCAUGACGGCGUGCAUCACUCUUAAUGGCACCACCGGGAUGAUCGAUGCCUCCCUGCAGUUUAACGACAACCGUUCCCUUGGUCCCUUUAAGGUUAGUUAUCAACUACCCGAUCCAUCGUCCUUGCUCCCGCCGGAGGUGGCGGUGGGGUUCUCUGCAGGCACAGGCGACUACUCCGAGCGCCAUCAGAUAAUGUCCUGGUCCUUCACCACAACUCUUCCUCAACGCAAAGAUCUGAGCGGAGCGGAAACGAGGAUUUAG
This 846-nucleotide ribosomal RNA is filed under the name Triticum aestivum (bread wheat). RNAcentral describes it as "partial small subunit ribosomal RNA". The record is from RNAcentral. Lineage: Eukaryota; Viridiplantae; Streptophyta; Magnoliopsida; Poales; Poaceae.